UGGAAAGCACCUCCUGCAAAAACAAAAUGCCACAGAAAACAUCUCUGAGGACUCCCUUUACUGAUAUUACUAAUAAAAAACCUAGAACCAAUGAUGACAUCGGUGAGGGCAAAGCAAAAUAUAAAAGUAGAGGGAAUGCCCGACUGAAAGACCUUGGUCGGAAUCUCUUUGAUGAUGAGCUCACUAAAGAUCAGACUACUUCUGCUAUUGUGUACGAUGAGAAUUGUGAAGAAACAAGGUUUGAAGAUUCUGAUGAUUCUCUAUUUGAAACGGACAGCUCAGCUGAGGACAAUGAUCCCUAUCAAAUAUACGAUGAUGACAGUGGUGUAGAAUCAGACCCAG
Molecule: long non-coding RNA, 342 nt
Organism: Daucus carota subsp. sativus
Lineage: Eukaryota; Viridiplantae; Streptophyta; Magnoliopsida; Apiales; Apiaceae
Exons: 3
Source: RefSeq, a predicted model, not a curated record